This 1285-nucleotide long non-coding RNA is filed under the name Homo sapiens (human). Its description in RNAcentral is "HSALNT0116259". Lineage: Eukaryota; Metazoa; Chordata; Mammalia; Primates; Hominidae. The record is from RNAcentral.
CUUAGGCAGGGUGCUGGGCUUUGCCGUCCUGUCUGACUUAGGCAGGGGCGCUGAGCUUUGCCCUCGUGUCUGACUUAGGCAGGGGCGCUGGGCUUUGCCCUCCUGUCUGACUUAGGUAGGGGCGCUGGGCUUUGGAGCGUGUCCUGUGUCAAAGGUACUGCUGUCUUGAGGGAAGAAUUAUCAGCCCAAGGUAAGAUUCCUUGGAGACACUCAGGCUUUGGAAAACACAAAUAGAUGCUGCUCUCGUGGAGAAAGGUGUUCAUUAUUCUGUUUAAACCAAGUCAGAGGAAAGUAUUUUAAAUACCCUCCAAAGCUCCCGGAAAUGCAGGGCCCACCUGUCUGUUCAAAGACAGACCAACAUCCUUCGUGUGAGCUGCAGCCUAAGCAGGGGUCUGGUGUGGACGCCACGUGACACACUCACCGUCUCCUCCGGAUUUCUCACUGGGUUCCUCUGGGGACCACGCAGGACCCGCACUAGAUGAGCAUCACUGAGGCUGCAAGCCGGUGUGCAGACCCCUUCCAGACGCUCCCCCGCCGUCCAGUGUGCCCUGUAGAGGACUCAGUGCAAGUGGCCUCAAAAGGCCAUUCACAUUCACAUUCUCAGUGAGACCAAAGAGAAGGAGACCAAGUGUCCUGACCCCUCUGACAGCCAGAGUUACCCCAGCACACCCUAGAUCAGCAGUUCUCAAAGUGGGCUCCCGGGGCAGCAACCUCAGCGUCACCUGGGAGCUUGGGAAGAGGAGCUCGUGUUCUUAGGGCCCUCCCUAGAGCCGCUGAAUCAGAAACUUUGGGAUGGGGUCUGUCAAUCUGUGUUUGGACAAGUUCCCCAGUGACUGUCACACACCAUGAAGUCUGAGAACCACUGUUCCAAACCGAGGCUUCUAACUGGAUGUUCAUUCCCAGCCAUUUGGAAGGCUCAGCUGAAAGCCAGUGAGCCAGAAGCCAGCUCCACUGAUCCUGCUUUCCAGACUGGCCAUUCUCACAAUGUUCCAUUAGGCAAUAGGGCUCUUCGGGGAAAUUAAUAGAAUGUAGGCUUCAGGAAUCAUCAGAAAGCUGCAGCUUCCCUCGUCAGGGAAGCUGACGUCUACAUCGUCCUCAGUCUAGAACAAGAAUAAUAGGUGUACCUUAGAAAAAUGUGCUUUCAGUCCAUCAGUAAAAAGCCAAUAUUGUAAAAUCCUAUUAUCUUUGCUUCAAGUGUUAUCAAAAAAAUAAUAAUAAUAAAAUAAAGGCUUAGAAGUUUCACUGUUCAACAUGGCAUUUCGAAAUAUUCGAUGUAAUUGUUGUC